UUUUUUUUUUUUUUUUUAUGUUUUGUUGCUUACAAAGUUGGAGUUAGUAUUUACUUGCAUCAUAAACGCAUUUUUAAUCAAAUUUUUUUAUUAUAUUUUUAUCUUAUAUACAUCACAUCAUAAUCUAUACUACAGUAAUUAUUUCAAAAAAUUUGCUAUCCAAACACACGCUUUGAUUGUUAGCUACUGUUAUGCGGUCAUAAUUGUGAUGAUCCACCUAACACAAGGUGGCACUAAUCGUCUUUAUUAAAAGCAAGAUAACAACGUUCGAUGGUCCAUAAAACCGUAAUAAAAGUUGUAUUUAUUUGGAGUUAGUUGACAGUUGAGACUCAUUGUUAAACAUUAGCUGUCCGUUGUCUAUGGAUCUGAUUCUAUUGCCUUGAUCAAAGAGAAGGAUGCUUAUCAGAGUAACAGUACUCAGCAGAAGCAAAGCUCCAAAUUUCAGUCCAUUGAUAAUUAACGAUCGAAGAUGGACUGGUGUUUCUCCCAGAUUGUUCUCCAGGACAUGAAUCUUCUUUUAGCAUCCCAGAAAUCUUUUGUAACCUUUCUCACUCUGUCUUGGGCCAUUCUUGUGACCUUUCUUCUCUGCAUCGCAUGCUAAGCUAGAGUCCCGGUCCUGGUCUUCCAAAUUGGCCAUAGGCCAUACUAUUAUUCAUUAAUCAUUCAUGAGGUUCCUCCCGGCAAAGUUUAGAAGAAUCCAACAAACUUUUUAAACAUUAUGGAUCACGAGCAUAGCCGUGUGUCUUGCUCUAAAUGCAACAGGACUCUGAUUCCCCUGGAGGGUGAUAUUAGCUUCAUGAUUCUCAUCUUGCCUUCCUGAACCUGUAGAAGAUGUAAAACCAUGAUCUAACUUUUCAGAACCUGGAACUGUAGAUGAACUGAAGACAAAGUUUUGCAUUGAUCAUCCUCUUGUUUAACUUUUUGGACGACAGGAUUGUUCGAAUGUCUUGCUGACAGACUAUGCUUCUCUUCCAGAAGCUGCAGCUGCAUCAAUUAUAAUUUGUUGCAGUCAGGAAAAUGACCAGUUGUGCAAAUAUCUACAAGGAAAUUCAUAAGUACGUACCAAAAUGACACAAAAUAAAAUGAGAAAGUAGUUCUACUAGAUGUUGAAGCAUCUCGAUAAGAAACUAUAUAUGUAGUCGAAGGAAAAGAGAAAUUUAACAAAAAUUACGAAAAUGGCUAAUGAUUUACAGGGCGAUCAAGGCGGUCUAAUCUUGGGAGAACAGGGGUGGUUAAAACUUGUUCUUGCAUUUCUUGUUUGUCCAUGAUGUUCAAAAUUUGAGGCCUUGUCCAGGGCUUUGUUGUGAGGACUUAGGAGGUACCCAUGACCUUGACUACUUCCUAUCUUUCUAUAAACGGAAAGAUGUAGAAAAUAUAUCUUUGCAUUUUAUAAAGAUGGACUCACGGUUUGCUGUUCAGAUAUUAAUAGUUGUAUGUGUGAAUAAUGAGAAAACAAGAUGUGGACACUGGCUCUGAAGUGGUAGCUUGUAAGAAAGGAAGAUAUAACAUAAUAGUUGCGAUUUUUAAUACUACUAUUUGUCAAUCAAAGUAGUAGUAGUAGUAAAUGACAACCACCGCGCCACACCCUCUUGUCACGUUCUCCCUUCUUGAUUAUGGAAACUGGUAGCAGACUUCAGCUAUUGCUUAUUCUUAUCUGAUCUGAUGAUGGGCACUGAUCUCAUAUCUCUACCGUUUCUCCCAUGCCACUCGUUUCUUCCUCUAUCUCUCUCUCGAUCAAAGUAUCGAGAUUGGAGUUAUCUUUGUUAGUCAAAUGCCUGCAUGCUAAGUUCAAUAUUGCCUCAUUUUAGGCAAGGUGAACUUACUGGAUGCAUAUCGUUUCUACUUUUCUACUGUAAAUAGAUGAUGCACACAAGAAAAUGCUGCCAAAGGAAAAGAAAUCUAGAACCCUUUUAAAUUCAUUUCUUGUUAUUUGAACAAACAAGCCAAGGAAUCGUCCCAAUAAACGUCAGUUUUUUGUGAGGUGUAGUUACAUUCAAAAGGUAGCAAUGGUUGGAUGCAAAGACAACCAACCAAGUCUUGACUUGCAUUAAUUUUUUUUCAAAUGUCUGUGUCAGUUUAAAGAAGUUUAAUGUAUUCUACGUCAUUUAGGUUAGUGUUGUGAAGACAAUCUAAGAUGAAAAGUUUUCUCCCAUAAGCAAUUAAGGAACAUACGUCUCGAAGAAGAAAUUUGCAGUUGAUUAAUGGAUCGAUGCUAUGGAGUUUGAACCAACUGAAUCUUCUUCACUAUGUAACCAAUUUUGGCUUUUCGCUCCCUUCCUAUUGAAAAUGAUGGGAUAUUCCAAAGUCAUCCAUGGAAGGAUUCGGGCAUGCUAUGCCAUUUCCUAGGAGGGUUGGAAUCAGCACUUGUAUUGGAGGUAUCAUUAGGCAGAGUCAAUAACCAAGCACCACCAAUGCAUUUCCAUUUCCACGCCAACAUAGUUAAGAUGGUUCCUAAGAAAUAGGUAAAAACAAAUACUACAAUGGUGACACUUCACCGGAUCCCUCACACGACUUGACAAAGAAUUUCCUUAAUGAUUGUCCAAUUUGUUCUUACAGAGAAUCCAAACAUAUAAAGCCCUUGAUUCUCUUUGAACUCCCAACAAGGAUUAUAUCUAUAUGGUAUGAUAGCUAUUUAAUAGUAACAAGAUGACCUUUCUUUUAAAUAGAAGAAGAAGAAGAAGAAGAAGAAUGUGGUACAUCUCUUUCCUAGGAAGGUUUUACACAGAGGCCAUAUCCACUAGUUGUUCGGGCAUGUGCAGAAUUUCCUCUUGUAAAUUGGCAAACAUUACAAUAAUUUGAACGCUUUCUUCAAGAGUCUGGUGUCUGUGUUUCAAUUCAAAUUCGUGAAAAUUAAUGAUUGCUUGAACUUGGCUUUAAUUAUUUUGGAGAAACAGUGUAGAGUGUGUGUACUAAUUCAGAUUUCCUUAUUUUAUGGUUGAUAGCCAAAGAUGCAGAAUCAUCAUGAUUUAUGAGCUUUAUGAUCUCCAUCAAAAGCCUUAAUCAAGCCAAAUGUGACGGACAUAGAUAUCCAUCCUCCUGUUAGAACUCUCAUUGCAGAUAAUCUUAUGGGUGAACCGCCAAGAAGGGCUCCAAGUCCCCCAAACAACACCAGAGCAAUAGUUGUUACCACCAUUAUUAUCACAAUCCUGGUUCCGUAUUGAGAUAUCGCCACAGCAGCCACUAGGGGAACCACCGAUCCACAAAGAAAAGCCAAGGCUGAUGCUGCCGCAGCCUUGUAUGGAUUAGGCAGGGCCUCCUCUUUGCCAUCAACUUGCUUUGCCAUACUUGCUCUUGCAUCUGUUACCAUGGAGACAAUUUCCCUUGCGAUGACUCACUUUCGCUGGCCAGAUUUACAAAUGGAGAUCUGUUUGGUUCUGGCACAGAUGGAUGAGGAGUUAGAAAAUGGAUGUUGAUAUUAUCACCAACUUGCAGGUCGUGCAACUUACCAUCUGAACAAGUUUUGUGGAUUGUUGAUUUUUCGAUGUCCCUCUGGGUUGCGACAGAAACAAACUCUCCAACAGCCAUGCUGCAGGCACCUGCAAGAGCUACUGCAGUCCCCGAAAUGAUCAUGGACUCCUGAUCGUCUUUUGCUGCACCUAUUCUGAGCAUCAUGGAUGCAGCCGAAAGCAAACCAUCAUUGCACCAAGAAUGGCUGCUCUAAGCCAUUGAGCUCUCUGCAUUCCCUGUCGUACUUUUUCUUGUGUAGCUGUUACAGAAAGCUUAUUUGCAGAACCAGGUUCAAUUGACAUAGAAGCAGCUAUGUAAUGUAGACAAAGGUCGGAAACGGAGUGUGGUCUUUGACUGGAAAGCACACUUCCUAAUUCUUUACUUAAAGUCUGCAAACCACACUCUAAUCACGUGGAAGCAAUGUGCAUGUUGAGAACAUAUACAAGUAACCCACCCUAUCCAAUGUCGUCCAAGAAACAGAUUCCCUUAGGGGGCAUCGGUGAAGGCUCCAAAAAUUGAAAUGUCAAAUUAUAACAUCAAAGCCGAAGACAGCUCUGAAGAAGCCCAUGCUGUACUUAUACAAGCUUCGUGAGUGCAACUUUGUUAACUUUCUUAUUCUAUUUCUCCAAAAAUUACAGCAGCUAGAAUGAAAUAAAAAUGUAUACUAACACAAAUCAAUUCUUACAAAAACAGCAUCACUCUGACACAUAAAAUACCUUAAAUAUACAACUUACCCAAAACUUUAAACAACAAUCUUGGACAUGAAAUUAUCUUGAAUUUGAAUAGAGAUCCAUUUUCAGACAAAAUACAAGCAUAUAUAUUAGGAGAAUUGCAGUCCCAUAGGGCAAUUAUCUCACCCGCGAGAUCAUGUUCCCAAGCUGAUGGUAGAAUUGUUCGUGAUAUAAACAUCUCGUUGCUCAUAAUAUACACUUAAACAGUACCAUUUUGAUUCAUAACAAGCCAAUUGAAACACUCCGAUGAUUUCUUCAUUCCUUAUGACACCAAACUCUCAGAUAAGUAAGACAAUCUUGAUAAUAAUGGUGAUGAGAUUAUAAUUAUGACAAUAACAAUACCAGCAAUAACAAGAAUCAGUGCUAUUAUGACGAGUUACGGAUAGAAUUCAAUUGAAUAUUUUUCCAUGACAAACGAAUUCUUUCCAACCAAUGGAACUUCACCAAUGAAACCAUUUCAGCUAGUUUACGGGCUCUUCCAAGUAGAAAACUGAUUUCAUUCUGUGACAAGCAAAUAGAACCAGCCUGCAACAGACAAAUCAUAAAUGAUGGCCACGCAAUAAGUUUAACAUGCUCCCAAAGUCAUUUUCCCAGCUGUCUCUGGCUCAUGUAGCUAAAAUCGUUGAUCAGUAUUAAAAUGUUUACCACUGUCUUUUACACGGAAAAGAAAAUAACUUCAUGCUCCAGCUUGAGACAGCUAGCUAACUAUACCAUGGGUGACACGCAUAUAAAACAUAGCAUCUAAAUAUAUCUUACCAGCACAUGCAAGGCCUUAAUACAACCAGUCACAUAUAACCAACAAGAGUCAAGUGGAAGGCAUCCUAUAUUUGGAAACUACAACUGAAAUACUAUAAGUAACCAUCCCUGCGGUCCUGCUCUUCUGCCUCCUUGUUAGCAACUUGAACUGCUUUGAACCAAAGGAAUGCCUGGAUAAAAUACAUCUGGUUAAUGUUAUGCAUCUUUUAUGAAUGAAGAUUCAAGGGUAGUUAGUUUCCCCGGAUUUGUAGUUCUAUUGAACUAAUGCCUAGUUUCCUUUAAUGUUAUGCAUCUUUUAUUACCAAAAAAAAUAUCUGGUUAAUUAGCAGUAGCAAGUUUAAGUAAAGCUUUCACUAUUAUACACUUGCAAUGCAAGAGCAUUAAAGAUGGUCCAGGAUGUUAAAACAGUUUUACUUGUAUCUUUAACAAUUUGCAGGAAGUGACAUUAAGCCUUUCAAGGUAUUUGAUAAGCUAGAUUCUGACAGAAAAAUAGCCUUAAAUCAACAGCAACAUUAAAGCAAUUUGAUGAGGUCAAAUUGUAACGAAUGCAAAGUCUUCAGAAGCGAUAUAGAGAUCAAGAACCACCCAAAUCAUUCUACUUCCUAGCUUGAGAAAGCGCCCCUUUCCUCUUCCCCUUCUCCGAAAGAGGAAAAACAAACAAUAGACAGACAAGAAUAACAGCCGUGAAUUUUAACAAUAAGGGUAUUAUAGAGCAGCAAUAUUGAAUUGUUCAGCGAGUGCAUCUACUUUAUCUAUACAAGAGAAGUGGUAAGCUUUUAACAUGGGAACUGAACUUCCAUAAGACCACAAAAUCUUUUUCAUUUUUUUCCUUUUUCUUUAAUUAACUCUCGUGUCAUGCAUAUCAACGCUUUGUAUAUGAAGUUUGUGCAAUGUCAGUGUAGAAAAGCGUAAUCCUGACAAUGAUAAUGCAUUGUUUAUUGACAAAUUUAUCAAAUUACUAACGACAAGAGCAGUUGUUGGAAAAGAAAAUUGGCUCACCGAAGAGGGGAUGCCAGUGAAAGCAAAAAAGCCAAGCAAUGGAGCAUAGAAUACAUUAUCUGAGUUCAAAACUCCAAAUGCAGGCCUUUGAUUCGCAUACUCAAAAACAGAACCAAUCUGCAAAACAAAAGAAAACCAAGCAAAAUUCAAAAGGUCUAUUAUAUCAGCAUCGAGUUCCACAGGGAAAACGAAAGAAAAAAGUCUGUAACAAACAAAUGUGAAUUUAAAUUCAAAAAAAUGAAGGGGCUUUACCGCAGCAAUGGCUGUGACAGCUGAGGCAAGCAAGUAAACAAAGUAGGGAACUUCAAAGCUAGAAGAAUCUUGCUGCGCCUCAUCACGGGCCCAAGGAGGAGGCUCAUCUGAGCCGGGCUUAGCCCAGGAAGGAACUGAAGGGGCAUCAUCUUCUCCAUCAUUCUUAGAAGAACCUUCUGUUAAGGCCGAAACUCUCAGCCUACGAGCAUUUUCAACUGAAUUUUUCUUCUUUGGUCCAGUUUUUAGGAUGAAUAGUGGUAAACUGAGGGAGCGAGAAAGCGGAAAUGAAUUGGGAUGCCAUGGUUUUGGUGAAUGAAUGAGUGAAUUCGAGUUGCAGAGGGAUGAUGAAGCCGACGUUACCAUUAGUUACAAGAUUUCAGGAGAAUAAGGUUAUGACUUAGUGCUCCUACAAUUUUCAGAAUGCAGAGUCGCAACAAGAAGAAUGGAGUGGAAGUAGAAAAGAGAGAGGGGAAAAAAAGAUUUUCUCUUAUCUUUUGAUUCUUGGAUUUUUUUUUUCAAGAGGAAAUUGGGGAGAAUUUUGAGAAGGUACGGUUCAGGUUUAUCCACAAAAUCCGUGUUGUCUUUUUCUAUUUCACGUUUGGAAAAUUAUUUUUCGCUCUAUUGUUUUGGAUAUUUUUCAAAAUCACGACUUCGUUUUCUCUUCUUAACCUGCAAAGCUAACUAAUAGCUCCAUUUGGCAUAGCUUACACAUUUUUUUUCCAGCUCCUCUCAGUCAUAGCUCCAUUUGGCAUUUGCUUGGUUUAGCAAGUACUUUGGCGAUUUUUAAAAGAAAAAAAGAUGGUACUUUACAUGUAUAGCAUGCAUCUAGACCCGCAAAUAAGGUUACUAGAAAUUCUAGCUGCUCGUUAACUAUUUAUGAGUAGCUCAAUCAAUGGUUCGACUUGAGUUUGGUCAAAAUCAAAUUCAAAUGGAGUUCGAGCACCUCGUUUGUGAAUUCAAGUCGAGCACAUGACGUAGAGAAGGAGGCUCAAAUGUUCGACGAGUUUAUUCGAGCAAUUAGGUUUUCUUUUAAUUAAAAAUAAUAUGUAUGUAAAAUUACACUUGUAACUAUGGAAGUUGUGAAAUUUAUCAGUAGAAAAUUCGAAUUCGACAUGGCUUGCAAGGAUUCUCAAGUUUAUUUGAGUUAAGCUCGAUCUCAUAUACUACAUUAUUACUUGCUUGAAUCGAGUUGGAGUUUAAAUAUUUUUAUUUGAUUGAACUCGAGUAGCAUUAAUUGUCAGCGAUCGAGUUCAAGUUAGAGUGUGGUAUCACUCAUCUUAACUAGCCUCGAAUGCACCCCUACACGUUAAGUGUAUACACUGACAAUGCGUAGAAGAUUUACCAUUCCCUUAAAUAUAAAACUCCGAAGCUGGAGAAAAGCAAUUUUGUUCCAAGAACCCUGCCAAAAACAAUAAAAAUGCAGUAGACUACAACCAUUGGCCAUCAUGUUCCAUCUUAUAGUGGGUUUGUGACCCAAAAUACAAAUGGCAAUUGCACAUCUAAAUAGUCAUUCAAAAUGCCGCAAGACUUUGGAGCGCUCCUCCAGUGACCCGAUUUUCCUUUAGUGCCUAUGAUCGGUGGGCCUGUUGAACUUUAGGCCUCUAGCCCAUGUGAAGACACACUAGCCCAUCCCAAAAUACCAUCGAGCGGUGAUUUUCCCAGCGGGUAUUGUAAAUACGUGCACUAAUCCGAUUCAUUAUUCAUGCUACCGUCUCAAAAAUUCAUUAGGCUUCUAAAAUAAGUAAAAUGAUUAAUUUUUCCUACGUUCCAAUGUAACCAUUGAUAGAUUUAGAUACACACUAUAUAUGUAGAAUUUAAUAUUUAAAUUUAAAUUGAAAUUAGUUAUCAUACAUUCAGAUAUAAUAGUGAAUGCAUAGGGAUAACAAUUAGGAGGGAUGAGCCCCGCCGAGAGUUGAUGGAAGAAUGAAUGCAUAGGAAUGACAAUUGAGACUCAUGUGCCUGUGGGGGUCGAUGGAGUAGAGGAUAGGACGGAACGAAGGGUUUGUGUUUGGAUUGCAUUUUCCGUCAUUUUUCAUGGAAAAAUUACUGUAACGAUUUGAUAUAUGUGAGGGAAAAAGGUGAUAGGGAGAUGUGAUCACGGAAAACGACAAUAUUUUUCAACGGAAACAAGCAAUCCAAACAAUGCCUAACUUUUCCCCCGCUAAAAAACGGGACAAUGGACAGGGGAUAUAUACAUAAAUAUUUUUAUACUAAUAAUUAUAUAUUUAUAUUAAUACAAAUUAUUGAUUAGUUGUACUAAUAUAUUUAUAUUAAAUUAUUAAUUACAUUUUUUAUUAAUUUUAUUUGUUUAACUAAUUAUAAGCUUUUUUGCCCCGCGGGUGUAGGGCAAGGUGAGGGUGAGGGUGAGGGUGAGGUGUGGAAGUGUUUGGGCAACAGGGCGGGGGAUAGGGGAAUGUGAACUGCAUCGGCGUAGCGGCAGCGCAAAUUCAGAGGCAUUGAGAUAAAUUCCAAUGCCCAACAUCUUGUUAGCUAAAAUAAAGGUAAGCAAACCAUUUUAAUUAAAACUAAAAAUCCAAAUCCAUCUCUUCUUCAUUACGCUUAAAACGUAAAAACAUAUGCAUAAUAGAUAAUUAACCAUGGAUGCCUUGUAAGGCUUGUGCGUUGAAAAUGAACUGGUGUCAUGAUGGCGAAACUCCAUAAUUAACACCAAUUUUCUUCGUGUUAAUAAUGAUAGUAGGAUCAUUAGCAUUCCAGUGUAUUUAUGCUUUUUUCUAGUGACCAUCAUAAUAAUUGUAACCGUUAUCCCUCUAUUUACCAUCAUUUCCCUCAACAACAUCCACCCCCCAAAAUGCCAUGGCCAUGACCAUGAGCUUCACAAAAGAGAAAAAGAACGGCAUUGGACCUGUUGCAAGAGUCUUUUCUCGCGCCGAAGAGCAUGGAAUUGUCAACUAACUUUCUUGAAAACCAUAAAAGCAGCGGCGUUUAGGUUUGUUCCCUUCAAGAUUUUGCCUUCAUGCCCUUAACGGGUUCUUUACACACUAGUCAACCAAAGUUCACAGCUUUCGGGGCAAGUCUGUCAUGCAAUACAUUUCUUACAAGUCUUGUUUUGCUUUUCAUGAUGGUUAUUCUGACGGCCAACUCAAUUGACAAGAACGGACCCUUUUUUUACAAGGUAUCCUGUCGUGUAUUUAAAUCUUAACAUCGAUAUGAAAAUUAUGUUGAUGAAUGAUGUAUAAGAACUCUUAGAAGUGACUUAUAAUAUAAUUGCAGGAGUAUACUCUAGUCUACGAUGAUGAUCGAAAUCGAAUCGAAUCGAAUCGAACUUUUUCUUCCCAAAAAAAAAAAGGAAAAAAAAGGGAUCAUUAUUCUAGCAUCGUAUGUGCCUCUUAAAAAUUGUUCAUACGGGCUUAGCGUAGACGAAAUCUUGAUAAUUUUAGAUAUUGAUGCAUAGAUGCAAACUUGCAGCAUUGAGGGUCUUUUCUUCCUGAGAUUUGGGAAGGUGUUCUCAUAAAAACUUUAAAGUUUGAAGGGGGAAUUUGAGGAAAUAUAUGUACGUUAUGAUCCUUAAAAAUGUUGUCCGAUUAAUCAAUUAUUUUGCACGAUUAAAAUUAUGUAAUCCAGAUGCCGUAAUGGGCCACUUCUGUUAGCGAAGAGUGAAGGCAAGCGCAUGCAAACCAGCCAGUUAGAAAAAGAAAAAAAGAAAAGGCACGCAGUUCCUGGGGAAUGUGGCCGUCCACCAUGUCUCCCAUUAAUUCAUAGCCGUUUAUAUCCUGUCCGUGAAUUUCAUGUCAGCCUACCCCAAAAGUUCAGCAGGUUGUUUAUUAAAGAACUGGUUACGCUUUACAAGUUGUAUCAAGUCACCUACGGUUUAACAAUUUUUGACACUUCAAUUUUAAAUGUAAAUUAAUUAACACUACAUAGCAUGCACAAUCUCUACAAAGACUAGAAAUUCUAGCUAGGCCUUCAGGUAAACUCGUAUCAUUAAUAGACUUGUUUUAUUUCUUCAUCUGUUCCAAAUUAUAAUUCACUAAUUAUAACAAAAUUAACUAAUUUUUGUUAAUUUGUGUGAAAAUCAAUAAUACUAUCAAAGUGGGACGAAUUGAUAGAGUAUUUUGUUCUGUCAAAGACUAUAAUUAGUGGUAUCUAUUUAGUUUCUAACACACUUUAGCGACCUUGUAAGUUAAUAAAGUGAAAGGAAUAAAAGAUAGUAGCUAGUUACCGUUGGUUGAAAAGAAUAACAAAAUGAUCAGCAACAUAACAUGCUGCUUUUCACCAAACGAAAUUAGCACCAGCAAUCGUCUGCAGAGUUUCUUGUUCUUUAGAAGAAAUGUGGGGUGGUAAAAGGCCCUUCGUACAUCUCUAUCUCGUUGUAAGAUUGCGUAAAGCUUCUGGAGUCCAAGAAUUUUUAGGGGAUGCACGAGCUUGUUGAUAAGAUGAUUUCUUUUUGUUUGUGUUAGGCAGAUGGUCUGGUUGUUAUACGUACGUUUCUCCGAAUUCUGUUGUUUUCUGCUUCUCUCUGGCUUUUAGGCUUUUCCAGAUCAUCUUUCAUGGAGUUUCACGAGGUCGAAAAUGACUAGUUUUUGUCCGUGAUAUGGAAGAAACAAGAAUUAUAAGCCAAGACAACUAGCAGCGAAUCAUGUUUCAGUUUAUGAAGGAAGUUCUGGGGUCUGGAUACACGCUGUUCUUUAGCAGAUUUUUUGUAAAGCAACAAUUUUUUUUUCCCAAAUAAAUGGAUAAUUUGUUGGGAAUAUUCGUCUUUUAUUUAGUACUUUUGUCGGCCAAUGUCAUUGUAGUCUUAAUGCAAAGAGUCAUUAUAGCUCGUGUUAAAGCAUUUCUCACUAUUAUCAUUUCAUCUUCCCUAAAAAUGUGUCAUUUUCAUCUCCGCUAAAGUGUGCACACAAGCAGGAAUGAGUAUAUAUACGCAUGUGCAAUAUUUGAUAAUCAAAAUUAAAUUGAGAUUAGUUGUCGUACAUUUAAUACAUUAUGAGUGUCCAUAACGAAAAAUAUUUGUAUUGGACGAAAUUAGAAUUGACGAUCUUAUAUACUGUAAUCGAUACGUACAAAGAUCUCGAAUAUAAAGUGAAAGACAAAUGAUUUUCAUCACUUUUCAAUUUUGGGCUAUCCUUUUUCUCGAUGAAUAGUUGAGGUACAUGGUUUAAGUUAAAAAAGUAUAGGCAGAUACCAUAAUCAUGAAAUGGUAGAGAAUCAACAAGGUAAUUGAGUGAAAUCUAUUUGAUAGAGUUGCCUAAUCGUUCAAUUCAUGGUAGCUAGUGCAUAAUCUAUGUAACCACUAAAAGCUUAAUUUAACUAAUAAUAAAUGCCAUCAUUGCCACAAUUCAAUUGAUAACUCGGGCAAACCUUGUAGGGCCGCAGGAUCCAGUAGCUUACUACAAUUGUUCAGCUAAAUUGAAAAAAAAAAAAUUUUUUUUUUUUUGGUAUGAUUGAUUGUUUUGUUUAUGCUUACACAGAAUAGCAACAUAUAAAAGUUUGGAUUAUGGUGAUGAUAAUUCCAGCAAAGUAGUGGUGACAUGAUCGUUGAUGCAGGCAAUAUCUGCUGUUGAUGAACAACCUGAGUCAUCAUUCUGUCAAGCUUAUAAAGUUAAUUAGGGUAGAAUUGUUUCUUUAGGUCAUAAAGUUAAUUCUGCAUUAGUGCAGAUUUAUUGAAUGAAAUGAUUUCUUCUGUUAAAAAAAAAAACUCCGUCUCUUUCGCUUAGAUUGUUAGUGAUCACGGAAAAGAUGCAAUUUUUUUGAUAAAAAAUGACAAUCCAAACAGGUUUGCUGUUGUAAGCUGCCAGAUCCCAGUUACACCAAUCUGGGUUGAAAUCAAACCAUUAAAUCCAUCAUGAUGGUUUACAUUCAACAGUUGCAGUAACACGACAGUUCAUUGACAAGUCAAGAGGUUUUCGAAGGGAUCCAUGGUAUUUACUAUUAUUUAUGUAUGGUCCAAUAGCUCGUCCUCAGCUUUCCAGACAAACGACAUAUGCAACAUCUGAAAGUGACUAUUUAUGACUCGUCAAUGGGAGAGGCAGAUGGCCGAAGAAAGAGUGUUUCAUAAGAUGGAUCCCACCAAGGGAAGGAGUGAUCAAAGUCAACGUUGAUGGUGCCUCAGAAAGGAAUCCUGGAAGAGCUGGAGUUGGUGGGCUCAUUCGGGAUACGGCAGGAAUAUGGUUAGGAGGGUUUGCAGAGAGUAUAGGGAAAGCAAGUAACAUAGCGGCUGAGCUAUGGGGAAUUCUUAAAGGAAUGCAGCUGGCUUGGGAUAAAGGAUACAACGAAGUAAUUGUAGAGUCGGACUCGAAAGUGGGUUUGGAGUUAAUAGAGGAUGAAAUGAUCACAUCGCCUUACCAUAAUCUGGUGAAACAGAUUAGGAACAUGAAGAGCCGAGAUUGGUCAUGCAAGCUGCAACACAUCUGGAGGGAAGAAAAUCGACGUGCAGAUUGGCUAGCCAAGGAAGCAAUCCGUUUACAGUCAUCAGGACGAUUAGAAGAGCCACCGGAAGGACUAAGGGAGUUACUAGGAGCUGAUAUAAUUGGGGUCACAACCCCACGCUUAAUACCAUGUUAAAAGGCAGUGGCCUCUCCUUUGUAUUCAAAAAAAAAAAAAAAAAGUGACUAUUUAUAUAUAUAUAUGAACUUAUAGCAUCUCUGCAACUAGAAAGGGACUGAGAUGGAAUGGUGAAUGACCCCUCUUUAGUUUUUGGGGAACGGAGAGAACUUCUGGCAUUGGUCAAAAAAGAUGAGAUGUGUCCACAUUUGAUUUCUUGGUGUUUUAGGGAAGAGAGAGCAUUGGUGGAUGACCAACUUUAGACCUUUUUACCGAAACUGAGAAGACAAAAAGCUCUCGAGACCAAUAUCUUCUCACCUUUAGUUCACAGGAGGAAGGGAAAAAAAAUGAGGACCAAAACUUUAAUGCUAAUAACAGAGGGAUUAAUUUUUGAGUUAAAUGUACUGCUGCAUUUAGGCAAUUUUUCAAAAUUAGCUUCUCACUUUAUAUAUAUAUAAAAAAAGCAGUAUUAACGAGUGUAAAUUGAAUACCUAUUAGCCAAAUCCUAUAUACUAAAUAGAAAACAUAUGAAAAAAAAGGUAAUAACAAAUACAAUAGUUCUUACUUUAGAAACUAAAAUACAUAUUGUAUUGAUUUCAUAAAGGUAGAUUUGGAGACAAACCACUACUAGUGAGAGAUCCGUGAGGAGUUGUCGGCAUUGCACCACUCCCUCUCAAAACAUGAUCACAAUAAUUCAAUGUUAACUCUAUGACAAAGGACAAAUCCCUAAUUAUGUGCGUUAUUGGAGCUUCUCAUGGUCAUUUAGUAUUAGCACUUUUUCUUCAAAUGCCAUGCAAACAUGCCCAAAUAAAACCCACCGUGACCGUGGGAGAGCAAGCAAUUGUUUGGAAAUGUUUUUUCUUUUUUAGAAAAUUUUUAUAUUUUUUGUGAAUAUAUUUUUUAAUUAUUCUUUUACUUUAUAUAAAUCAGAUCGCUACCAUGUAUUUUUUUCACGGAAACUCCAAAAUCUAGCAAUCCAACAACAAGGGUGGUUAAAUACGAAGAAGAAGAAGAAGAAGAAGUAGAAGAAGAGGAGAAACAAAAGACAUAUAUUGGAAAGGGGGGGGGGGGGAAAACACAACAUGCCUCAUUCCUCAAAUCCAUCAAGUUAUGACGGAGAGGAAUUUCCAGCGAUACAGUCAUAAUAAUAGUAAGUAGCAGUUAUUAAUGACUUGAAAAAGAACGGCUGUCAGUUUGCUGUGGCAUCGUACGGAGAUAAGAGUAGCGUUUGAUUUGAUUUCCAAGGAAUAUCUUUUAACUGUCUGUCCCCCGAGAAAAUGCGUUUGCUUGCUUGCUGGCUAUGGAUACGGUGGAGAGGGCAUCGUGGUUGGUUCAGUUAAAAGCAAAGUCAUUCUCUGACGUUCACUCCACACCUUCAUCCUUGAAUCUUGAUCCUUAAUCCCUUCAUUCCCAUCCCUCUCUCACCAGUCUUUCACGUUCCAACUUUCAAGACACUUUUUUCUUGGAAAAAAAAAAUAAUAAAACAGUUUACCACAAAAACUCACAAAAUCCCAAGAGUUAAAUUGGUCAUAAAGAUAGAAUCUCACGUCUUAAUAGUUGCUUCAAUCUGUUCCAUCCCGUGUACGCCCAUUCCACCACUAGCCUUUAGGCCAUUCAUAUUUGAGGGUCGCUAGGAAAAGGCCACCUUUCUACUCUUUCUUGCUUUCUAACAGCAUAGUAGUACUUGUGAAUAUUCUCCCACCCUUUUCCGUCUCUCCCCUCUGUUUCAAACCAUUCUGCUGCUCUGCAACCUGCAUCACCCCCUCACCCUCUUCGACCAUAAAUUACUGAUAACAUAGUACGGUGUUAGCAUCCUCGUCACUUAGUUAUUUCCUCCACUGUAAAAACCCAAUCUCGUUUCUUAAACUCCUUGUGUUUUAUGGUUUAGUAGAAUCAUUUUGCUUAUCUGGGCUUUAUCCGGGAUAAGGAAAUAAGAUAUGGGUUCAUUUUGUACCAGUAAAAGGAGUGCUCUUUAUGCUAUCUUUCUUUGUGUUUUUCUUGUUCAGCUAUGCCACUCUGCUUCUUCCAAGGUAAACUCGCCUGUUUUUCUUCGCGGAGCACGUUUCUACAGCCAUUCAAAAUCUGGACAUAAGUGAUAAUUUGUCUAAUUCAUAUGCUUUUUUGUUUUUUUGGGUCCUCUGCAGUUGUAUGUGGUUUAUAUGGGCAGCAGAGGAAGUGAUGAGCCAGAUGAGAUUUUGAGGCUAAACCGUCAAAUGCUUACUGUUGUCCACAAAGGAAGGUCUAGUCUUUCUCCUUUUUCAGUAAGCAUGACAUAUUUUUGGAUCUUUGAUUUCUCGUUUGAAUCAACGCAUCAUCUUGAUACAGUGUGGAACAAGCAAUGGACUCGCAUGUGCGUAGUUAUAGACAUGGUUUUCGAGGCUUUGCUGCCAAGUUGACGGAAGAACAAGCUUCUGAAAUUGCAAGUAUGACAACUAAUUUCUAUUAUAUUUUUUUUUAUCUUUGUUAAUCUUAUGUGGAGUAAAGAUAUGGUUUUUGAGACUUGAGAAAUGAUAAGACCAUUACUAUUCAAUCAAUUCUGGGCCAAGAAGCUAAUCAUGCAAUUUUGUAUUUAUGUUGUAUUACUAUUGGUCAAGCCAAAACAGAAAAUGCCAGAACUUUGUAUCAGUAUUUCCUACAGAAAUUAUUAAUGCUGUUUUGUAUUUAUGUUGUGUUGGUCAAACUAAAACAGAAAUGCCCGGAGUAGUAUCCGUAUUUCCCAAUACCAAGAGGAGUCUGCACACUACUCAUUCAUGGGAUUUUAUGGGCCUCAUUAAUGAAGAGACUAUGGAAAUACCUGGUUAUUCAACCAAAAAUCAAGUGAAUGUUAUUAUUGGUUUCAUUGAUACAGGUGAUUUCUCUGUGCCUUUUGUUGAGUGUUUGUUAACUACUUUGAUCAAGUAGGUAGACAUGUGACAACAAUGGUCCCUUCAUUGAUAGCUUGGCAAGGAAAGGUGGUUGUCGCUUAGGUGUUCCUGUUCCUGGUGCAAAGUCUAGCUGUUUAUUUAUAUUUUCAGUUAUACUUUUCUUAGUUGAGAAACAUUAAGGACUAAGAUGUAACACUUAGCAGUUGCUGCCUAAUUUCUUAUCGAGUACAAUCCCCCUGGCUCAGAAGAAAAUGUUUAAUUGAUGGAAAUGUUUUCUAGUACUUAAGGUUUCAAUUUCCUUUUCAUGCUAAAUGUAAUUUUUUUUUAAAUAAAUGGGACUUUUUUCUUUUCCAUUUUUUGGAUCACAGCAAUGGUGAUACUGUUAGUAAGCAUAAAUUAUUGUUUGUCAACGGUUUCCAUUUCUUCUAUACAAUAUAAUUGUACAGUUGGGCAGCUAUAGUUGGGUGUGGGUGUUGGGAAUGACAGGUUCUACCAGUUUUACCCUGCUUACGUUGCUUCAGUAUGGCACAAACUUUGAAUUACAUACCUGGUAGGAUGAUGCUCUGUGCAACAGGAAUUUGGCCUGAGUCACCAAGUUUCAGUGACGCUGACAUGCCUCCAGUGCCAGUUGGAUGGAAAGGAGAAUGCCAAUCAGGGGAAGCAUUUAAUGCUUCAACAUGCAAUAGGUGUUUCUGAUAGUUGUCUUGCUUAACCAGCUAGUCAUUCAAGUUCCUUUUAAUGGUGCAUUUGAUAUUGAGACCUGGACAAAUUUGUAAUCCUGCAGGAAAGUAAUAGGUGCAAGAUAUUACUAUAGUGGCUAUGAAGCUGAAGAAGAUGCAGGAGAGACCACCACGUCUUUUAAGUCCCCAAGGGACAGCUCAGGCCAUGGCAGUCACACAGCUUCAACUGCUGCUGGUCGUUAUGUGCAGAACAUGAAUUAUAAGGGCUUAGCAGCUGGAGCAGCCAGAGGGGGUGCACCAAUGGCUAGGAUUGCAGUGUACAAGACUUGCUGGAGCUCUGGUUGCUAUGAUGUUGAUCUUUUGGCUGCUUUUGAUGAUGCAGUUAGAGAUGGAGUUCAUAUCAUUUCUCUAUCUCUAGGACCUGAUGCUCCCCAGGGCGAUUACUUCAAUGAUGCCAUUUCCAUAGGGUCGUUCCAUGCAGUUAGCCGGGGAAUAGUGGUGGUUGCUUCAGCUGGAAAUGAAGGAAGUGCUGGAUCAGCAACAAACCUUGCUCCAUGGCUGAUUACUGUUGCUGCUAGUUCAACCGAUAGGGAUUUUAGAUCUGAUAUCAUUUUGGGAAAUAGAGCUCAUGUCACGGUAAUGGCUUGUGAUCUCUAAGAAAUGGUGAUCUUUAAUUAUUCCUCCGCCUUACUAGAAACUAUUCAUUGAAUAGGGAGAAAGCCUGACUCCACUUGAGAUGAAUGCAUCAGCACGAAUCAUCCCUGCUUCUGAAGCUUAUGCUGGAUAUUUCACUCCUUAUCAAUCCAGGUGAAGCAAAAGGUACUUCGCUAAGUGUACAUUGCAGAUAUUAAUCCAGAGACAGGAAUCCCUAAUUUAUUUUCUUUUCUUUUGUUCAUCACACUAGUUACUGUUUAGAUAGUUCUUUGAAUAGUACAAAGGCGAGAGGGAAGGUUCUGGUUUGCAGACAUUCUGGAAGUUCAACUGAGUCAAAGCUAGCAAAAAGUGUAGUUGUUAAUGAAGCUGGGGGAGUCGGGAUGAUUUUAAUAGAUGAAUCAGACAAGGAUCUUGCUGUUCCCUUUGUCAUCCCUGCAGCAAUUGUUGGGAAGCAAUUGGGUUCGAAAAUCCUGUCUUAUAUCAAUAAUACACGGUUAGUUUCUUCUUUCAGAGAGGUCCUGUCAAGUAUUUGGUUUGGGUAAGCUCUUCAUAUGAUUUAUUGUUUCAUGUUGCAGAAAGCCUUUGUCAAGAAUUCUAUCUGCUCAGACUGUACUGGGAUCUCAACCUGCUCCUCGAAUAACAGCAUUUUCUUCAAAAGGCCCCAAUGUUCUUACCCCCGAAAUUUUGAAGGUAACUCAUCUAUAAGAAGAGGCACAAUCCUUAGACACAGCAACUUCUAGAAAAUUCAUUGUGUUUUCUCAUCAACAUCACUUUCUGGUUUCAAAUUUGUGAACAUCUUGAAGCUGAAAAUUCUAUCAUUCACACCAAUCCUCUGUUUCAUCUUGGGUUUUUUUAUUAACUCCUGGUGACUAAUAGAGGGGAGGGCAGGAUUUUUUUUCCUUUUGCCCACUCAUGCUUGGUUUAUAACUUGUUUGCCUUUGUAGCCUGAUGUUGCAGCUCCUGGGUUAAACAUUCUGGCUGCCUGGUCUCCAGCAACUGCAAAAUUAAAGUUUAAUAUUCUAUCUGGAACUUCAAUGGCCUGCCCACACGUAACUGGGAUUGUGGCUCUUAUAAAAGCAGUGCAUCCUUCAUGGUCACCAUCUGCUAUCAAAUCUGCAAUUAUGACAACAGGUAAGCUCACAUGUCCUGCACGGGGAAACUCAUGCACUAUAUAGCUCUUCUAUAUGGCUCCUGAUUUUUUGUUUUAUUAGUUACUUUUUGUUACAAAGUAGUGAAAUUUGCAUAUGUUGAUGCCAAGCUAGGAGAGAAUGUAAGCAAUUUUUAUACUCCGGGAUAUAUAACAUUCAUAUCAGUGAAUAUGCGUCUAUCUAGAUCAUAUAAAUUUGCAAGUUAAAACCAUUUCUUCAAUGAAUCUGACUUUUCAACAUAAAUGCAGCUACUGUUUUGGAUAAGCAUCACAAGCCAAUCACAGCAGACCCUGAGGGGAGAAGAGGAAAUGCAUUUGAUUAUGGCUCUGGCUUUAUAAACCCCUCUAAAGUACUUGAUCCAGGUCUAGUUUAUGAUGCGAAGCCUACAGAUUAUAAAGCCUUUCUCUGUUCAAUUGGUUAUGAUGAGAGAUCGCUUCACCUGAUCACAAGAGACAACAGCACCUGCGCUCAAUCAUUUGCAACAGCAUCUGACCUUAAUUAUCCAUCUAUUGUAGUCCCUAAUCUUAAACAGAACUUCUCUGUGAUCAGAACUUUGACGAAUGUGGGAAGGCAAAGAAGUAUCUACAAAGCUGUUGUAUUUGCUCCCAAAGGAGUCAAUGUUACCGUUGUACCUCGACGAAUAGUCUUUGAUAGCUACGGGCAAAAGAUUAACUUCACUGUCAAUUUUAAGGUAGCUGCUCCACCAACGGGUUAUGUUUUUGGAUCUCUGUCGUGGAGGAACAGAAGAUCAUGGAUAACAUCCCCGCUUGUCAUCCGAGCAAUGCAUUCCAAGAUGGGACUGGUAUUUUAGGCCUGGCUUUAGAAGAGAGACAGCUCGUGGCUUCUGAAAUUACAGCAGAUAUAGGCAAGUAAAAGCAAAUGUACAUUCAUAAGAUAAAGACAGGAAGAGUUUCCUGCAUUAUUGAAUGCACACAUUCUUUUGAAGAUAGCAAAAAUGUGAUCAGUUGCAGUCUACCGCAAAUAUGCAUAAUUUCGAACUUAUUCAUUGUCUAUUGUCUAUCUUCUCCAUUUCGUCUACUGCGUUGACAAUUUGUCCUAUCCACUGUUUUAAAGCAUCAAAUGAUUGAUCCCCACACAAGAAUUUUUAUGAUGUUUCGCUCGAAAACUGUGGAUAGAAACCUCCCUCAAAAUUCCCCUUCACUUUUGUGUGUAUGGACUCCCAAGUCUCCAAGAUGGUCCGUCAGAGGGUUUUAGUCUCGCGUUACUUUCAUGGAAUCAGCUGAUUAAUUCAUCAAUAUUCAGGAACCAAAUUUGAGCCUGACGCCUCACCUUUUCACAAAAAGAAAUUGUGCUGUAUGAUAAAGGGGCGUAGAAAAGUCAUUUUAGUUGAAAGCUCACAAAUUCGUCUAACACAGAAGGCAUAUGUAAUCUCCAAUUGCUAGAAGAAAAACGGAUGCAGAGGUAUAAUCUCCAACUGUGACCAAAUGUAAAAAAUAAAAAGAAGAAAACAAUAAGUUUACAAUACUUAAAAAAUCCAACCCCGAUCAGUGUCAAAAAUUCCACCAAGAACCAGCCGCUUGCGAGCAUCACAAGUAUAUGUUUCAGAAGCAUACAUUAGGAUUAAUAAUCGAGGUGGGACUGAACUUGUUUCUAUAAAUUGUAUCAUCUCAUAUCUACAAAUCAAGUACUCUAGACUGGACCACCUCCAGAGAACAGGAAAAUCGAGUUAUUCACUGGCCUUGGAAACUUCUAGAGGAUCGAUCAGGCCUUCUAACACAACAAGCUCAUCUAAUAGUGAUAAUUUCUCUUCUUCAAGGGCCUUAAUGUCAUCUU
Molecule: long non-coding RNA, 19826 nt
Filed under: Coffea arabica (coffee)
Lineage: Eukaryota; Viridiplantae; Streptophyta; Magnoliopsida; Gentianales; Rubiaceae
Description: long non-coding RNA (CARA_LNC005230)
Source: RNAcentral